RNAcentral lists this ribosomal RNA (253 nucleotides) under uncultured bacterium. Its description in RNAcentral is "partial 16S ribosomal RNA". It matches the Rfam family "Bacterial small subunit ribosomal RNA", at positions 524 to 776 of the family's 1533-position model. The record is from RNAcentral.
UACGGAGGAUCCAAGCGUUGUCCGGAUUUAUUGGGUUUAAAGGGUGCGUAGGCGGAUAAUUAAGUCAGUGGUGAAAGCCUUCAGCUUAACUGAAGAAUUGCCAUUGAAACUGAUUAUCUUGAAUGCGGUUGAGGCAGAUGGAAUGUAUCAUGUAGCGGUGAAAUGCUUAGAUAUGAUACAGAACACCGAUUGCGAAGGCAGUCUGCUAAGCCGUGAUUGACGCUGAGGCACGAAAGCGUGGGUAGCAAACAGG